AUUGAACGCUGGCGGCAUGCCUUACACAUGCAAGUCGAACGGCAGCACGGACCUCGGUCUGGCGGCGAGUGGCGAACGGGUGAGUAAUAUAUCGGAACGUACCCAAGAGUGGGGGAUAACGUAGCGAAAGUUACGCUAAUACCGCAUACGAUCUACGGAUGAAAGCAGGGGACCGCAAGGCCUUGUGCUCCUGGAGCGGCCGAUAUCUGAUUAGCUAGUUGGUAGGGUAAAGGCCUACCAAGGCAUCGAUCAGUAGCUGGUCUGAGAGGACGACCAGCCACACUGGAACUGAGACACGGCCCAGACUCCUACGGGAGGCAGCAGUGGGGAAUUUUGGACAAUGGGCGCAAGCCUGAUCCAGCAAUGCCGCGUGCAGGAAGAAGGCCUUCGGGUUGUAAACUGCUUUUGUCAGGGAAGAAAUCUUCUGGGCUAAUACCCUGGGAGGAUGACGGUACCUGAAGAAUAAGCACCGGCUAACUACGUGCCAGCCGCCGCAGUAA
This 500-nucleotide ribosomal RNA is filed under the name uncultured bacterium. RNAcentral describes it as "partial 16S ribosomal RNA". It matches the Rfam family "Bacterial small subunit ribosomal RNA", at positions 30 to 523 of the family's 1533-position model. The record is from RNAcentral.